This 490-nucleotide ribosomal RNA is filed under the name uncultured bacterium. RNAcentral's name for it is "partial 16S ribosomal RNA". It matches the Rfam family "Bacterial small subunit ribosomal RNA", at positions 30 to 507 of the family's 1533-position model. The record is from RNAcentral.
AUUGAACGCUGGCGGCAGGCCUAACACAUGCAAGUCGAACGGUAACAGGAAACAGCUUGCUGUUUCGCUGACGAGUGGCGGACGGGUGAGUAAUGUCUGGGAAACUGCCUGAUGGAGGGGGAUAACUACUGGAAACGGUAGCUAAUACCGCAUAACGUCGCAAGACCAAAGAGGGGGACCUUCGGGCCUCUUGCCAUCGGAUGUGCCCAGAUGGGAUUAGCUAGUAGGUGGGGUAACGGCUCACCUAGGCGACGAUCCCUAGCUGGUCUGAGAGGAUGACCAGCCACACUGGAACUGAGACACGGUCCAGACUCCUACGGGAGGCAGCAGUGGGGAAUAUUGCACAAUGGGCGCAAGCCUGAUGCAGCCAUGCCGCGUGUAUGAAGAAGGCCUUCGGGUUGUAAAGUACUUUCAGCGGGGAGGAAGGGAGUAAAGUUAAUACCUUUACCCAUUGACGUUACCCGCAGAAGAAGCACCGGCUAACUCCGUG